RNAcentral lists this long non-coding RNA (1185 nucleotides) under Sus scrofa (pig). Its description in RNAcentral is "lncRNA (ENSSSCG00035070358.1)". Lineage: Eukaryota; Metazoa; Chordata; Mammalia; Artiodactyla; Suidae. The record is from RNAcentral.
GGAUAUAAUAAUUUUCAAAAGACAACUGUUAGCUUUCUUCUAGUGCCUCAUUCACGAAUAGUGACUGUUUUUCAGUAUUAUCUCUCAUUACUUUUAUUCAGACACUACACAGUACUUCUCAUAGCGUAGCACUUGAAUAUUUGUCAUUCUAAAACUUAAUUUGCUUUGAGUAGUUUUGUGAAGGGUUUCACAUUUUAUGAUCAUUUGUUCCAUGCAAUUACCCUUCAGUGAAAAGAAUGAGCUAUACUAGUGUUUAUAAUUUUGCUUAAGAUCCUUUCCGUUAUGUUAAUCAUUAGCCCUCAUUUGGAGCCAGUUUUUUAAUUGUCUUGGUUGAUACAUUGUCUGAUUGUCUGUGCAGAUUGUUACCUGGGUGUAGUGAUGUCUUAUGAAUAGUAAGAAACACAUUUAGGGAGUUUUCUUGUGGCACAGCAGGUUAAGGAUCCAGUGUUGUCACUGCAGGGGCUUGGGGGCUUGGGUCGCUGCUGUGUCUCAGAUUAGAUCCCUGGCCACAUGCUGCGGGUGGGGCCAAGGGAAAAAAAAAGGGAAACACAUUUAAUCUGCUUUAGAUCUAAUCAGAUGAUGCAUAUUUGAUAGCACUUGGUAAGAAUUUCCAUUUUAAAGCAGUCUGCCUUAUUGUGGAGGAUACUAUAGUGCUGUCUAAAUUGUUUAGGGUGUCAGAUUUAUUUGAAAAUCAAUUGUACCAUUUCUGCAGAACCAUAGAUGUUUUUGCAAAACUGACUUUGUAUUAUUUUAAGUAAUCCUCUGGAAGUUUGGCACUUAAAGUUAUACUUUUAGUUUUUAUUUAUUUAUUUUUCUGGGAGGAUUAAUAUAUUAUAUAGUCUAUCUAAAAACCUCCAGAACUAACUGGGGAGAUUGACUAUUGCUCAGUUUUAGGUGGAGGGUGGGGCAAAAGCUAAAAAUAUGCAUCUUAACUGUAUCCUCAACUACUUCUUUUGAUCUUUUUUUUCCAAGCAGUGUGCCCUAAGUGUGCAUUAAGUGUGCAUUUUUUUCUUUAGGGACGCACCCUCAGCAUAUGGAGGUUCCCACACUACGGGUCAAAUUGGAGCUGUAGCUGCUGGCCUACACCACAGCUCACCACAUCCAGCUCACUGGAUCCUUAACCCAACGAGCAAGGCCAGGGAUUGAACUUGUAUCUUCAUGGAUGCUAGUCAGAUUCGUUUCCUC